Molecule: ribosomal RNA, 275 nt
Filed under: uncultured bacterium
Lineage: Bacteria
Description: partial 16S ribosomal RNA
Rfam family: Bacterial small subunit ribosomal RNA
Source: RNAcentral
CCUACGGGUGGCUGCAGUGGGGAAUUUUGGACAAUGGGCGCAAGCCUGAUCCAGCCAUGCCGCGUGGGUGAAGAAGGCCUUCGGGUUGUAAAGCCCUUUCGGCUGGGACGAAAAGGUCCGUGCUAAUACCACGGAUCCAUGACGGUACCAGCAGAAGAAGCACCGGCUAACUACGUGCCAGCAGCCGCGGUAAUACGUAGGGUGCAGGCGUUAAUCGGAAUUACUGGGCGUAAAGCGUGCGCAGGCGGUUUGCUAAGACAGGUGUGAAAUCCCCG